AAUGUGUUUACUUUUAGAAUGGAGAUUUAUGCAUAUCCAUCCUGCAUCCUCCUGUUGAUGACCCACAGAGUGGUGAGUUGCCUUGUGAACGUUGGAAUCCUACACAGAAUGUCAGGACAGUCCUACUCAGUGUGAUCUCUUUAUUAAAUGAGCCGAACACUUUCUCUCCCGCUAAUGUAGAUGCUUCAGUAAUGUAUCGUCGCUGGAAGGAAUCCAAGGGUAAACAUAAAGAAUAUGAGAAUAUUAUAAG
Molecule: non-coding RNA, 250 nt
Organism: Parasteatoda tepidariorum (common house spider)
Lineage: Eukaryota; Metazoa; Arthropoda; Arachnida; Araneae; Theridiidae
Source: RefSeq, a predicted model, not a curated record